GGAGGAAAAGAAACCAACAGGGAUUGCCUCAGUAACGGCGAGUGAAGCGGCAACAGCUCAAAUUUGAAAUCUGGCUCUUUCAGGGUCCGAGUUGUAAUUUGUAGAAGAUGCUUCGGGUGUGGCUCCGGUCUAAGUUCCUUGGAACAGGACGUCAUAGAGGGUGAGAAUCCCGUACGUGACUGGUUGCCUUCGCCCAUGUGAAGCUCUUUCGACGAGUCGAGUUGUUUGGGAAUGCAGCUCAAAAUGGGUGGUAAAUUUCAUCUAAAGCUAAAUAUUGGCCAGAGACCGAUAGCGCACAAGUAGAGUGAUCGAAAGAUGAAAAGCACUUUGGAAAGAGAGUUAAACAGUACGUGAAAUUGUUGAAAGGGAAGCGCUUGCAACCAGACUUGCGCGCUGCCGAUCAUCCGGGGUUCUCUCCGGUGCACUCGGUUGCGUUCAGGCCAGCAUCGGUUUGGGUGGUUGGAUAAAGGCCUUGGGAAUGUAGCUUCUUUCGGGGAGUGUUAUAGCCCUCGGUGCAAUGCAGCCUACCCGGACCGAGGACCGCGCUUCGGCUAGGAUGCUGGCGUAAUGGUUGUAAGCGACCCGUCUUGA
This 591-nucleotide ribosomal RNA is filed under the name Xenopolyscytalum sp. CCF 4159. RNAcentral's name for it is "eukaryotic LSU rRNA". It matches the Rfam family "Eukaryotic large subunit ribosomal RNA", at positions 52 to 657 of the family's 3401-position model. The record is from RNAcentral. Lineage: Eukaryota; Fungi; Ascomycota; Leotiomycetes; Helotiales; Hamatocanthoscyphaceae.